AGGACGAACGCUGGCGGCGUGCUUAACACAUGCAAGUCGAGCGGAAAGGCCCUUCGGGGUACUCGAGCGGCGAACGGGUGAGUAACACGUGAGCAACCUGCCCUUAGCUUCGGGAUAGCUCCGGGAAACCGGAAUUAAUACCGAAUAUGACUUUGGCUGACAUCAGCAGAAGUGGAAAGUUUUUCGGCUAGGGAUGGACUCGCGGCCUAUCAGCUAGUUGGUGAGGUAACGGCCCACCAAGGCGACGACGGGUAGCCGGCCUGAGAGGGCGACCGGCCACACUGGGACUGAGACACGGCCCAGACUCCUACGGGAGGCAGCAGUGGGGAAUAUUGCGCAAUGGGCGAAAGCCUGACGCAGCGACGCCGCGUGGGGAUGAAUGCCUUCGGUUGUAAACCCCUUUCAGCAGGGACGAAGCGAAAGUGACGGUACCUGCAGAAGAAGCGCCGGCUAACUACGUGCCAGCAGCCGC
This 472-nucleotide ribosomal RNA is filed under the name uncultured bacterium. RNAcentral describes it as "SSU rRNA". It matches the Rfam family "Bacterial small subunit ribosomal RNA", at positions 26 to 518 of the family's 1533-position model. The record is from RNAcentral.